UGGGUAGAAUGAAACACCCACUCUUUACAUAACAUGAUUUUUUUUCAGUUAAUGACUAGACUUUAAGUAAAUGUGAUCAAUUUGACUCAUGUUAUAAUGGAAAUUGAAUCAUUGUUAAAAAUGCUUGACAUACAUAUUUAACAUUAACUGUUCUCUGAUAUAAUUAAGAUAAUUAUUUAUUUAAUAUUAUGAUGUCUUAGUGGAGCGUCAUAUAUUUCGAGGCAUUGAGUGACUGAUUCUUUUCUUCAGGUGAAAUCUUGGAGAAUUAGAAGACCUCGAAGGAGAUUGAUGCUUGUAGUUUUUGCAUCAGCCUUAUAUAAACUGUGUUGCCAUGAAACAAAUGUGACAAUGAAUAUGGAAAUGCUUCAGUGAUGUGUUGUGUUGUGUUGUUGAGAUAUGAAGAAAAUGGAUCCAGUACUGGUCAUGAUACAUAGCACAAGUGCAUCUGAAUGACAGUGGAAAUGUCACUGCCAGACCAUGACAUCACUUUUUAGAUGGGUUCAUCCUCGAAGUGACACAUGCUUUUGUGCCUCAUCCCACUUGUAGCUUCCUCUUCGAGCCGGCGUGAUUUUCUUUCUUCUCUGCCAUCUAUGCUAUCGUCAUUAUUCUUACCAAUUAUGCAUGUGGCUUCCAUUUGACAAAGGAAGUAAAAAUGCUCACUGUUUGGUUUGCAUGAAAUUUUUCACUUAUUAUUGUAAGAUAAGAAAAUGUGAUGUAGUAGUUGAUUUAAAUUAUAAUGGAAUUUGAUGGCUGUUAAAGAAUAAUUUAGGUACAUAUUUGGUUGUACAAUGUUCCCUCUUAUAGUGAGGGUAAAUAACAUUUGUCAUUCUUAUGUUUUAGCUGCACGUCAAUAUAUAUUUCUGUGAAGCAAGUGCAUUUGUUGUCCUUCAGGCCAUAUUCUGGAGACUAAUAUAGAAUGGGAAGUUGCUGGUUGUGGUAGUCCUUGUCACCCUGAAUAGAAGUCAGCCGGAAUGUGUAAUUUCAGACCGAAUGAGCAGGCAAAUUAUUGGAAACUGGUGAAGGGUGUUGGAGAAAAUUGAUCUACUACAGAGUACGUAACAGAGACAUAUGUGGUCAUAGUGACAGUGGAAAUUUUACCUCCACAAUCUUCCAUCAUUUACGAGCCCGAACACAUGAAAAUGGUGAAAACUUCGUGAAAUCAUCAGGGAAGAUCGACGACGGACCAUUGAAGGAAUUGUGGAGCUGUCGGGAGUGACUCUGAGCUCAGUUCAGCGAAUUUUGACAGAAGAUUUUGGAAUGAAACGGGUGGCUGCCACCCGUGCCACGACUGCUGACUGCUGAACAAAAACAAGGUGCGUGGAAGCAU
This is a long non-coding RNA of Cryptotermes secundus, 1327 nucleotides long. RefSeq lists it as uncharacterized. The record is from RefSeq and is a predicted model, not a curated record. The transcript has 3 exons. Lineage: Eukaryota; Metazoa; Arthropoda; Insecta; Blattodea; Kalotermitidae.